CUGCCCUUGAGAUGACCACAACGUUGGUUUUCAAUAGAUGCUUUCAUGCGAGGCAGGAGCUGUGUGUACCAGAAGGCUGUUUGUCUCAAGGAGCACUUAAAAACACGUCUGCCUAAGAACAGAGUUUGUUCUUUUGCUGGAAGAGCUCUCCACCUGAGAAGCAGCAAGAGUUUAAGUUUUGUGGUACUUUUUAAUUUGUUUUUGAACUAUAUUCUUCAUGUUCAGUCACUUGGUUUUACCAAGUAACGUUGUUAACUGGAGGUAUGUCAAGAUAGCUAAUGCACAACUCAUUCUUUCCAUCACGCUUUUAUCAACAGAUUUAAAUAUUAAGCAACUAAUAGGAACCAGCUAGGUUCAGAUAAGAGUACAGCAGUUUUGAGAUGGUAAUACCAUUUGGAGAUUUUUCCAUUAAGCACCACUGUGCUAACAUGUAUUACAUAAUCUGAAUAUCAGGAGACAUUUAGAGAGCAUACAGUAAUCAAAGCAAUUGUGAAACUUGCUCUUAACGGUCACUCUUCCCAAGACUUUUUCCAAAGCACACCUGAUCCGGCACUAGGUAGCCAGGACCAAGAUAUGAUGCUUAGUGAAGAAGAACAACUCCACCCUUCUGGAAAAAGCUGGAAGCUACUGAAAAGCCAAGGCUGGAGAUCUGCCAGCCUCUCACCAAGUCUCAGUUCUCAAAGCUCUCCUCAAAGAUAUUUGAAGACCUGAACUGACAAGCAAUGUGCUUUGGCAAUGAUACUGAAGGCAACUCCCAGGUCCAUUCCAAAAGGAAAAUCAGCAUUUGCACUACAGACUAAGUAGGAACUGUAGUACUGUCCAGCUAAGUUUGACAGCAUCACCUGAUCACGACCUGUCCUUUCAGACAAGAUUUAUUAAACACCAUAAAUUAAUUAAAUGAUGGACAUCACUGAGAACAUAAAGCAUUGUUUGUCCCCCAGGCAAUGCCUUACACAAAAGCUUAAAGAACAGUAAAGCAAAAGCAAAGUACAGCACAGAGCAGCUUGUGGCUAGAGUUCAGAAACUUGAGUGCUAAUAAAGCUGGCUCACAAAAACUUGCCCAUUGUACAAUUAAUGAAUAUACCCAUGUUAUGGUAUAGCAGUGUACAAUUAACAAAUAUACAGAUGUUAAGACAUAACAGAGAGCUUGGCUAUGAUGUUAUUACACCAAAACAGGGAACAGAAAUGA
This is a non-coding RNA of Meleagris gallopavo (turkey), 1189 nucleotides long. The record is from RefSeq and is a predicted model, not a curated record. Lineage: Eukaryota; Metazoa; Chordata; Aves; Galliformes; Phasianidae.